RNAcentral lists this ribosomal RNA (253 nucleotides) under uncultured bacterium. RNAcentral's name for it is "partial 16S ribosomal RNA". It matches the Rfam family "Bacterial small subunit ribosomal RNA", at positions 524 to 776 of the family's 1533-position model. The record is from RNAcentral.
UACGUAGGGACCGAGCGUUGUCCGGAUUCAUUGGGCGUAAAGAGCUCGUAGGCGGCCACUCAAGUCGAAUGUGAAACCUCGAGGCUUAACCUCGAGUCUGCAUUCGGUACUGGGCGGCUAGAGUCUGGUAGGGGGAUCUGGAAUUCCUGGUGUAGCGGUGGAAUGCGCAGAUAUCAGGAGGAACACCGGUGGCGAAGGCGGGAUCCUGGGCCAGUACUGACGCUGAGGAGCGAAAGCGUGGGGAGCAAACAGG